RNAcentral lists this transfer RNA (68 nucleotides) under Marmota monax (woodchuck). RNAcentral's name for it is "tRNA.Ala". The record is from RNAcentral. Lineage: Eukaryota; Metazoa; Chordata; Mammalia; Rodentia; Sciuridae.
GCUGUACCUCAGUGGAAAAGCGCUUGCCUAGCAUGUACGAGGCAUUGGGUUCGAUCCUCAGCACUGCA